This 35-nucleotide small RNA is filed under the name Bombyx mori (domestic silkworm). RNAcentral describes it as "ovarian small RNA-34565". The record is from RNAcentral. Lineage: Eukaryota; Metazoa; Arthropoda; Insecta; Lepidoptera; Bombycidae.
UGGACGGGUUCUGAGAGUAUCAAGGUCGGGGAAAU